CUCGUGUCGUGAGAUGGUUAGGUUACGGUACCGUAACGAGCGACACCCUUGUCCUUAGUUACCAGCACGUUAUGGUGGGCACUCUAAGGAGACUGCCGGUGACAAACCGGAGGAAGGUGGGGAGUGACGUCAAGUCAUCAUGGCCCUUACGGCCUGGGCUACACACGUGCUACAAUGGUCGGUACAAAGGGUUGCCAAGCCGCGAGGUGGAGCUAAUCCCAUAAAACCGAUCGUAGUCCGGAUCGCAGUCUGCAACUCGACUGCGUGAAGUCGGAAUCGCUAGUAAUCGUGAAUCAGAAUGUCACGGUGAAUACGUUCCCGGGCCUU
RNAcentral lists this ribosomal RNA (327 nucleotides) under uncultured Pseudomonas sp. RNAcentral's name for it is "bacterial SSU rRNA". It matches the Rfam family "Bacterial small subunit ribosomal RNA", at positions 1059 to 1382 of the family's 1533-position model. Lineage: Bacteria; Pseudomonadati; Pseudomonadota; Gammaproteobacteria; Pseudomonadales; Pseudomonadaceae. The record is from RNAcentral.